GAAUGCUGACAUAAGUAACGAUAAAGCGGGUGAAAAGCCCGCUCGCCGGAAGACCAAGGGUUCCUGUCCAACGUUAAUCGGGGCAGGGUGAGUCGACCCCUAAGGCGAGGCCGAAAGGCGUAGUCGAUGGGAAACAGGUUAAUAUUCCUGUACUUGGUGUUACUGCGAAGGGGGGACGGAGAAGGCUAUGUUGGCCGGGCGACGGUUGUCCCGGUUUAAGCGUGUAGGCUGGUUUUCCAGGCAAAUCCGGAAAACCAAGGCUGAGGCGUGAUGACGAGGCACUACGGUGCUGAAGCGACAAAUGCCCUGCUUCCAGGAAAAGCCUCUAAGCAUCAGGUAACAUCAAAUCGUACCCCAAACCGACACAGGUGGUCAGGUAGAGAAUACCAAGGCGCUUGAGAGAACUCGGGUGAAGGAACUAGGCAAAAUGGUGCCGUAACUUCGGGAGAAGGCACGCUGAUAUGUAGGUGAAGCGACUUGCUCGUGGAGCUGAAAUCAGUCGAAGAUACCAGCUGGCUGCAACUGUUUAUUAAAAACACAGCACUGUGCAAACACGAAAGUGGACGUAUACGGUGUGACGCCUGCCCGGUGCCGGAAGGUUAAUUGAUGGGGUUAGCGGUAACGCGAAGCUCUUGAUCGAAGCCCCGGUAAACGGCGGCCGUAACUAUAACGGUCCUAAGGUAGCGAAAUUCCUUGUCGGGUAAGUUCCGACCUGCACGAAUGGCGUAAUGAUGGCCAGGCUGUCUCCACCCGAGACUCAGUGAAAUUGAACUCGCUGUGAAGAUGCAGUGUACCCGCGGCAAGACGGAAAGACCCCGUGAACCUUUACUAUAGCUUGACACUGAACAUUGAGCCUUGAUGUGUAGGAUAGGUGGGAGGCUUUGAAGUGUGGACGCCAGUCUGCAUGGAGCCGACCUUGAAAUACCACCCUUUAAUGUUUGAUGUUCUAACGUUGGCCCGUAAUCCGGGUUGCGGACAGUGUCUGGUGGGUAGUUUGACUGGGGCGGUCUCCUCCUAAAGAGUAACGGAGGAGCACGAAGGUUGGCUAAUCCUGGUCGGACAUCAGGAGGUUAGUGCAAUGGCAUAAGCCAGCUUGACUGCGAGCGUGACGGCGCGAGCAGGUGCGAAAGCAGGUCAUAGUGAUCCGGUGGUUCUGAAUGGAAGGGCCAUCGCUCAACGGAUAAAAGGUACUCCGGGGAUAACAGGCUGAUACCGCCCAAGAGUUCAUAUCGACGGCGGUGUUUGGCACCUCGAUGUCGGCUCAUCACAUCCUGGGGCUGAAGUAGGUCCCAAGGGUAUGGCUGUUCGCCAUUUAAAGUGGUACGCGAGCUGGGUUUAGAACGUCGUGAGACAGUUCGGUCCCUAUCUGCCGUGGGCGCUGGAGAACUGAGGGGGGCUGCUCCUAGUACGAGAGGACCGGAGUGGACGCAUCACUGGUGUUCGGGUUGUCAUGCCAAUGGCACUGCCCGGUAGCUAAAUGCGGAAGAGAUAAGUGCUGAAAGCAUCUAAGCACGAAACUUGCCCCGAGAUGAGUUCUCCCUGAGACUUAGAGUCUCCUGAAGGAACGUUGAAGACGACGACGUUGAUAGGCCGGGUGUGUAAGCGCAGCGAUGCGUUGAGCUAACCGGUACUAAUGAACCGUGAGGCUUAACCUU
RNAcentral lists this ribosomal RNA (1655 nucleotides) under Escherichia coli. RNAcentral describes it as "partial 23S ribosomal RNA". It matches the Rfam family "Bacterial large subunit ribosomal RNA", at positions 1292 to 2925 of the family's 2925-position model. Lineage: Bacteria; Pseudomonadati; Pseudomonadota; Gammaproteobacteria; Enterobacterales; Enterobacteriaceae. The record is from RNAcentral.